AGGACGAACGCUGGCGGCGUGCUUAACACAUGCAGGUCGAGCGGUAAGGCCUUUCGGGGUACACGAGCGGCGAACGGGUGAGUAACACGUGGGUGAUCUGCCCUGCACUCUGGGAUAAGCCUGGGAAACUGGGUCUAAUACCGGAUAUGACCUGCUCUCGCGAGUGGGGGUGGGUGGAAAGUAUUUUAUCGGUGCGAGGAGUCGGGGCCCGCGGCCUAUCAGUCUUGUUGGUGGGUAAUGGCCUACCAAGGCGACGACGGGUACGCCGACCUGAGAGGGUGACCGGCCACACGUGGGACUGAAGACGACGGCCCAAGACCUCCGUACGGGAGGCAGCAGGUGGGAAUAUUGCACAAGUGGGACGAAAGCUGAGUGCAGCGACGCCGCGU
RNAcentral lists this ribosomal RNA (389 nucleotides) under uncultured soil bacterium. RNAcentral's name for it is "bacterial SSU rRNA". It matches the Rfam family "Bacterial small subunit ribosomal RNA", at positions 26 to 402 of the family's 1533-position model. The record is from RNAcentral.